GUGCCAGCAGCCGCGGUAAUACGUAGGGUGCAAGCGUUGUCCGGAAUUAUUGGGCGUAAAGAGCUCGUAGGCGGUUUGUCGCGUCUGCUGUGAAAACGCGAGGCUCAACCUCGCGCCUGCAGUGGGUACGGGCAGACUAGAGUGCGGUAGGGGAGAUUGGAAUUCCUGGUGUAGCGGUGGAAUGCGCAGAUAUCAGGAGGAACACCGAUGGCGAAGGCAGAUCUCUGGGCCGUAACUGACGCUGAGGAGCGAAAGCGUGGGGAGCGAACAGGAUUAGAUACCCUGGUAGUCC
RNAcentral lists this ribosomal RNA (292 nucleotides) under uncultured bacterium. RNAcentral describes it as "partial 16S ribosomal RNA". It matches the Rfam family "Bacterial small subunit ribosomal RNA", at positions 505 to 796 of the family's 1533-position model. The record is from RNAcentral.